This 525-nucleotide unclassified non-coding RNA is filed under the name Bombus terrestris (buff-tailed bumblebee). RNAcentral's name for it is "misc RNA ENSBTSG00005029096.1". The record is from RNAcentral. Lineage: Eukaryota; Metazoa; Arthropoda; Insecta; Hymenoptera; Apidae.
AUUUUAAUCCUAAAAGUAAAUUAAUAGCAACUUAAUCUAAUCUCUACUAAGAUCAUAAAAAGCACUUUCUACGAUAUAAAAAUUAAAACAAGUAGGAAAGCUGGUUUUCUAUUUUACAAAAAUUUUCUGAAAAUCCACGUUUAUUUCCAGACUCUAAUCUUUGCCAGCGGCUAAUCUAUUUUUAUCGAAACAUGCGUACGUAAACGGGAACCCUAUCUUCCCAACGGAAACGCUACUGCUAAGGACAAAAAAAGGAUUAGAUAAGAUCGGGAAACAGAAACAGCAAUUUACGUGUUUCCGCGACUCCUAGUAUAUCUAGUCCCGAUCGUUCGAUUCAAUUAUUUCUUACGGUUAUUUUAUGUAAGACAGCUUUUAGAAAGCGUUAGAUUUGUUCGAAUAGUUUCUUCAGUUUUCCAAUCCGUUUUAGGACGCCAUAAUGACCGUUAAUCGCUAAUUUAAUUUUAACUCAACUGGUAACAAGCGUUUCAAGAUCGGUAAUGGAGAAAAUUGUUGAAGUUUGAUAAC